CAAUAAGCGGAGGAAAAGAAACCAACAGGGAUUGCCUUAGUAACGGCGAGUGAAGCGGCAAAAGCUCAGAUUUGAAAUCUGGUGUCAUUUUGGCAUCCGAGUUGUAGUCUGUAGAGGUGUAUUCGAGUGUAGCUUUGGCUUAAGUUCCUUGGAACAGGACGUCAUAGAGGGUGAGAACCCCGUUAACGGCCUUUGUCUUAUGCUCAUGUGAAUCUCCUUCAACGAGUCGAGUUGUUUGGGAAUGCAGCUCUAAAUGGGUGGUAAAUUCCAUCUAAAGCUAAAUACUGGCAAGAGACCGAUAGCGCACAAGUAGAGUGAUCGAAAGAUGAAAAGAACUCUGAACAGAGAGUUAAAUAGUACGUGAAAUUGUUGAAAGGGAAGCACUUGCAACCAGACGCACUUGCAGCCGAUCAAUUCUCAUUUUUGAGGGUGCACUCGGUUGUCUGUGGGUCAGCAUCAGUUAUGGUGGUAGGAAAAAGACUUGGGGAAUGUAGCUUCUUUCGGGGAGUGUUAUAGCCUUUUGUGCAAUGCUGCCUGCUGUGACUGAGGACCGCGCUUUGGCGAGGAUGCUGACAUAAUGGUUGUAAGUGACCCGUCUUGAAACACGGACCAA
RNAcentral lists this ribosomal RNA (613 nucleotides) under Terfezia boudieri. RNAcentral's name for it is "eukaryotic LSU rRNA". It matches the Rfam family "Eukaryotic large subunit ribosomal RNA", at positions 44 to 669 of the family's 3401-position model. Lineage: Eukaryota; Fungi; Ascomycota; Pezizomycetes; Pezizales; Pezizaceae. The record is from RNAcentral.